RNAcentral lists this ribosomal RNA (475 nucleotides) under uncultured bacterium. RNAcentral describes it as "bacterial SSU rRNA". It matches the Rfam family "Bacterial small subunit ribosomal RNA", at positions 915 to 1391 of the family's 1533-position model. The record is from RNAcentral.
GGGGGCCCGCAAGCGGUGGAGCAUGUGGUUUAAUUCGAUGCAACGCGAAGAACCUUACCUACUCUUGACAUCCAGAGAAUUUAGCAGAGAUGCUUUAGUGCCUUCGGGAACUCUGAGACAGGUGCUGCAUGGCUGUCGUCAGCUCGUGUUGUGAAAUGUUGGGUUAAGUCCCGCAACGAGCGCAACCCUUAUCCUUUGUUGCCAGCACGUAAUGGUGGGAACUCAAAGGAGACUGCCGGUGAUAAACCGGAGGAAGGUGGGGAUGACGUCAAGUCAUCAUGGCCCUUACGAGUAGGGCUACACACGUGCUACAAUGGCGCAUACAAAGAGAAGCGACCUCGCGAGAGCAAGCGGACCUCAUAAAGUGCGUCGUACUCCGGAUUGGAGUCUGCAACUCGACUCCAUGAAGUCGGAAUCGCUAGUAAUCGUAAAUCAGAAUGUUGCGGUGAAUACGUUCCCGGGCCUUGUACACACC